This 67-nucleotide transfer RNA is filed under the name Ichneutes sp. QL-2013. Its description in RNAcentral is "tRNA-Val". The record is from RNAcentral. Lineage: Eukaryota; Metazoa; Arthropoda; Insecta; Hymenoptera; Braconidae.
AAAAUUUUAAUUUAAUUAAAAUAUAAUAUUUACACUAUUAUUAUAUAUAUAUAUUAUAUAAAUUUUA